Molecule: long non-coding RNA, 196 nt
Filed under: Phascolarctos cinereus (koala)
Lineage: Eukaryota; Metazoa; Chordata; Mammalia; Diprotodontia; Phascolarctidae
Description: Rhabdomyosarcoma 2 associated transcript conserved region 9 (ENSPCIG00000013699.2)
Rfam family: Rhabdomyosarcoma 2 associated transcript conserved region 9
Source: RNAcentral
CAUCUUGUGAGACAAAGGAUUCGCUCCUGAGCCCUGCCACACCUAAAAAAAAUGCUUUGAAGGGCUUGCCGAGCUCACUCUUAAUCAUGGGAGAGAAAUUACCCACAUGGAGUCAGCAGAAAAUGAAAAAGUGGGCCUCGUGCUGAGAUAAUUCCAGCAAGUGCCAAGGGGCUAGUUGAGAUAUGGCUUCAUGAGG